This 455-nucleotide ribosomal RNA is filed under the name uncultured Sphingobacteriales bacterium. Its description in RNAcentral is "bacterial SSU rRNA". It matches the Rfam family "Bacterial small subunit ribosomal RNA", at positions 925 to 1382 of the family's 1533-position model. Lineage: Bacteria; Pseudomonadati; Bacteroidota; Sphingobacteriia; Sphingobacteriales. The record is from RNAcentral.
ACAAGCGGUGGAGCAUGUGGUUAAUUCGAUGAUACGCGAGGAACCUUACCUGGGCUCGAACGUAAGAUGACUGUAGGUGAAAGCUUACAUCUCUUCGGAGCAUUUUACGAGGUGCUGCAUGGUUGUCGUCAGCUCGUGCCGUGAGGUGUCGGGUUAAGUCCCAUAACGAGCGCAACCCUACCUUUAGUUGCCAUCAGGUUAAGCUGGGGACUCUAAAGGAACUGCCUACGCAAGUAGUGAGGAAGGCGGGGAUGACGUCAAAUCAGCACGGCCCUUACGUCCAGGGCUACACACGUGCUACAAUGGCCGAUACAGAGGGCAGCUACCUGGUGACAGGAUGCAAAUCUCCAAAGUCGGUCUCAGUUCGGAUCGGAGUCUGCAACCCGACUCCGUGAAGUUGGAUUCGCUAGUAAUCGCGCAUCAGCCAUGGCGCGGUGAAUACGUUCCCGGGCCUU